Molecule: long non-coding RNA, 861 nt
Organism: Penaeus chinensis
Lineage: Eukaryota; Metazoa; Arthropoda; Malacostraca; Decapoda; Penaeidae
Exons: 2
Source: RefSeq, a predicted model, not a curated record
CUGACUGACUGACUGGGACACAGAAACAGUGGUAUGGGGGCAGGGAGGACAAGCCUUUUUUCACCUGUGAUUAAUCAUAAAAAAACGGAUCUUCCUAGAAUUAUCUCAAGAGCUGAUAUGACGCCUCAGGUACACCCUCUUAACUCUUCUCCAAUGACAUUUACCGAUAAGAGCUGUACGCAUACGAUUGGCGAGCUCCCUUGCCAAAGCCCACGAUCCAGCGAUUGAUAAGAGUUCGCUCCUCCCCUCCCCUCCCCCCUUCCUAUAGAUAACAUGGACUUAGUAACAGCCUGAAGCCCCUUAAAUGUGGCCGCCCGGUGAUACACACCCGCCAUUCCCAAGCACUUCCUCAUACAGGCUGGAGAGGCAAGGGGAAGCGACAGCAAUCGGGAAUGGAGGUUCCCCGCCCAGUGCCCUGUCGGCCGGGCAAAUCAGCGGCAACAGCUGAGAUGUGAUUCUGGAGUUCCUACGGCGUUCCCAGGCCUGUAGGAAGGGGAUCGGCCCACACACACGCUCGACGUUACUUUUUAUUAUCGUUUUAUUUACUAUAUUUUGUGUACUGUUGCUAUGAUAAUUUUGGGUUGUAUGCAGAUGUGUAUUACAGCCAAUGAUAAUUUGAUCCAUGUAUUUAUGGAGCCUGAAAAAACGGGCAUCGAAUACCGAUUUUCUUGUCGCAUUUUUUUUUUUUGUAUUACAUGUUGAACUUAUCAAAUGUAUUAUUACUCAAAUGUAUUGUCUCUUUCGAUCAGAAAUAUUAACAUUUUUUUUGUAUCUAACUAUUUAUAAGCUUUGUUAUUCGGAGCUUUAGACAAGUACAAAUAUAUUCAUUACAUUCCUAUUUGAUAAUAAAGCUAUAUAAAA